UAUCCCACAGACAGGGUAGUACAUACCACAGCCUUUGAUAUACCAGUCAUGGUGCACUGGCUGGAACGAGAAAUAGCCCAAAUGGGCCCACCGACAGGGAUCGAUCCCACACUGACCGUGCAUCGAGUGGUCAUAAACAAGUGUCAGCAAAUACACUGGUAACCAAACGGAAGACAAUACUUUUGUAAUGGGCCAUGUGCUGAAAAGUAACAGGCCAUAUUGUCGUAAACAAGAACAUUAUUAGAAAAUUCUAGUCUGUUGAAUGGCAACUAGCAAACCACACAAUAUUAAUGAAACCUGCUAGGGUGGUGUUGUGGUCAAGUCAUCGGAUAUAAGGCUGGUAGGUACAGGUUAUCGCAGCCUGUUACUGGCUCCCACCCAGAGCGAGUUUUAACGACUCAUUGGGUAGGUGUAAGACCACUACACCCUCUUCUCUCUCACUAACCAACUAACAAACCCACUACCCUGGACAGACAGCCCAAAUAGCUGGUGUGUGCUCAGGACAGGGUGCUUGAACCUUAAUUGGAUAUAAACAUGGAAAUAACUUGAAAUGAACUGAAAUGUUAAUGAAGUCAUACAGUUGUAACUAGCAGGCCAUGUAUUAGUAAUUAACAUGCCAUACAUUGGAAAUUAAACAUCAAUAUGUUAACAACUAACAGGCCAUCCAUUGUAACUAAAGGGCCAAACACUUGUCAAUCUACAGAUCACAUACGAUCUGUAACAAGUCAUAUACUUAUAUAGUGAUAUCUAACAGGUCAUAUAUUGUAACUAAAGGGCCAAACACUUGUCAAUCUACAGAUCAUAUACGAGUCUGUAACAAGUCAUAUACUUAUAUAGUGAUAUCUAACAGGUCAUAUAUUGUAACUAAAGGGCCAAACACUUGUCAAUCUACAGAUCAUAUACGAGUCUGUAACAAGUCAUAUACUUAUAUAGUGAUAUCUAACAGGACAUAUAUUGUAACUAAAGGGCCAAACACUUGUCAAUCUACAGAUCAUAUACGAGUCUGUAACAAGUCAUAUACUGAUAUAGUGAUAUCUAACAGGUCAUAUAUUGUAACUAAAGGGCCAAACACUUGUCAAUCUACAGAUCAUAUACGAGUCUGUAACAAGU
Molecule: long non-coding RNA, 1110 nt
Organism: Gigantopelta aegis
Lineage: Eukaryota; Metazoa; Mollusca; Gastropoda; Neomphalida; Peltospiridae
Exons: 2
Source: RefSeq, a predicted model, not a curated record